GGGACCCUGAUGCAGCCAUGCCGCGUGUGUGAAGAAGGCCUUCGGGUUGUAAAGCACUUUCAGUUGUGAGGAAAGGUUGGUAGUUAAUACCUGCCAGCUGUGACGUUAACAACAGAAGAAGCACCGGCUAACUCCGUGCCAGCAGCCGCGGUAAUACGGAGGGUGCGAGCGUUAAUCGGAAUUACUGGGCGUAAAGCGCACGCAGGCGGCUUGUUAAGCUAGAGGUGAAAGCCCCGCGCUCAACGUGGGAACUGCCUUUAGAACUGGCAGGCUAGAGUCUUGGAGAGGGGAGUGGAAUUCCAGGUGUAGCGGUGAAAUGCGUAGAUAUCUGGAGGAACAUCAGUGGCGAAGGCGGCUCCCUGGCCAAAGACUGACGCUCAUGUGCGAAAGUGUGGGUAGCGAACAGGAUUAGAUACCCUGGUAGUCCACACCGUAAACGCUGUCUACUAGCUGUUUGUGUAUUUAAUACGUGAGUAGCGAAGCUAACGCGCUAAGUAGACCGCCUGGGGAGUACGGCCGCAAGGUUAAAACUCAAAUG
This 538-nucleotide ribosomal RNA is filed under the name Aestuariibacter sp. RNAcentral's name for it is "bacterial SSU rRNA". It matches the Rfam family "Bacterial small subunit ribosomal RNA", at positions 376 to 907 of the family's 1533-position model. The record is from RNAcentral. Lineage: Bacteria; Pseudomonadati; Pseudomonadota; Gammaproteobacteria; Alteromonadales; Alteromonadaceae.